CGGUAAUACGUAGGGAGCAAGCGUUGUCCGGAUUUACUGGGUGUAAAGGGCGCGCAGGUGGGUUGACAAGUCAGAGGUGAAAUCCUACAGCUUAACUGUAGAACUGCCUUUGAGACUGUCAAUCUUGAGUACGGAAGAGAGAGAUGGAAUUCCAGGUGUAGUGGUGAAAUACGUAGAUAUCUGGAAGAACACCAGUGGCGAAGGCGGUCUCUUGGUCCAAUACUGACACUAAGGCGCGAAAGUGUGGGGAGCGAACAGGAUUAGAUACCCUGGUAGUCCACACCGUAAACGUUGGGCGCUAGGUGUGGGAUCCAUUCCACGGGUUCCGUGCCGCAGCUAACGCAUUAAGCGCCCCGCCUGGGGAGUACGGCCGCAAGGCUAAA
This 383-nucleotide ribosomal RNA is filed under the name uncultured bacterium. Its description in RNAcentral is "bacterial SSU rRNA". It matches the Rfam family "Bacterial small subunit ribosomal RNA", at positions 518 to 898 of the family's 1533-position model. The record is from RNAcentral.